UUGGGCAAAUUCAAAUUCCAAAAUAGAAGAUAGCUAGCAAACCCAGAAGACAUUGGCUUAUACGCAUUCUUCCACAGAACAACGAAAAUGAAGAGUGAAGAAUGGAGAGAAUAAUUUUGGGCAGUUAACAUGAAAGUUGGAUAUGGAGAGAAAUGGGAGAAGAGGAAUUUUACAAUGUGAAACAAAAUUUACAGUUUCUUACAGUGCUGGAGGCUGGGAAGUUCAAGAUCAAGGAACCAGCAAAUUUGAUGUCUGAUGAAGACGUGUGUAAAGAUCAUCCAGUGUCUCUACCAGUGUCAUGGUGCAAUGAAGAAUGCUCCAGGCCACAAUCUCAGGCUGAAGGAGGAGGAGAGACUCUUUUCAUUUCAAAGAGCUCUCGAACUUCUCUCCAAAUCUCC
Molecule: long non-coding RNA, 398 nt
Organism: Lemur catta (Ring-tailed lemur)
Lineage: Eukaryota; Metazoa; Chordata; Mammalia; Primates; Lemuridae
Exons: 3
Source: RefSeq, a predicted model, not a curated record